Molecule: ribosomal RNA, 488 nt
Filed under: uncultured bacterium
Lineage: Bacteria
Description: partial 16S ribosomal RNA
Rfam family: Bacterial small subunit ribosomal RNA
Source: RNAcentral
AGUGAACGCUGGCGGCAGGCCUAACACAUGCAAGUCGAACGGCAGCACAAGAGAGCUUGCUCUCUGGGUGGCGAGUGGCGGACGGGUGAGGAAUGCAUCGGAAUCUGCCCAUUUGUGGGGGAUAACCUCGGGAAACCGGGACUAAUACCGCAUACGACCUACGGGUGAAAGCAGGGGAUCUUCGGACCUUGCGCAGAUGGAUGAGCCGAUGCCGGAUUAGCUAGUUGGAGGGGUAAAGGCCCACCAAGGCGACGAUCCGUAGCUGGUCUGAGAGGAUGAUCAGCCACACUGGGACUGAGACACGGCCCAGACUCCUACGGGAGGCAGAAGUGGGGAAUAUUGGACAAUGGGCGCAAGCCUGAUCCAGCCAUGCCGCGUGUGAAGAAGGCCUUCGGGUUGUAAAGCACUUUUGUUGGGAAAGAAAAGCAGCCGGUUAAUACCCGGUUGUCAUGACGGUACCCAAAGAAUAAGCACCGGCUAACUUCGUG